AGGACACAUACAUAUACGCAACUAUUAGUGCACUAUAGAUCUCAAGCUAUGCAUCACGCGUGGAGCUCUCCAUAUGGCGACCUCAGCGCCCGAAUCACUAGUGAUUAGUUUAUCCUGGCUCAGACUAACGCUGCGGCAUCCUUCACAUCAAGCGAACGGCAGCGCGGACUUCGGUCUGGCGGCGAGUGGCGAACGGGUGAGUAAUACAUCGGAACGUACCCUGUUGUGGGGGAUAACUAGUCGAAAGAUUAGCUAAUACCGCAUACGACCUGAGGGUGAAAGUGGGGGACCGCAAGGCCUCACGCAGCAGGAGCGGCCGAUGUCUGAUUAGCUAGUUGGUGGGGUAAAGGCCCACCAAGGCGACGAUCAGUAGCUGGUCUGAGAGGACGAUCAGCCACACUGGGACUGAGACGCGGCCCAGACUCCUACGGGAGGCAGCAGUGGGGAAUUUUGGACAAUGGGGGCAACCCUGAUCCAGCAAUGCCGCGUGUGUGAAGAAGGCCUUCGGGUUGUAAAGCACUUUUGUCCGGAAAGAAAUCGCGCUGGUUAAUACCUGGCGUGGAUGACGGUACCGGAAGAAUAAGCACCGGCUAACUACGCGCCAGCAGCCGCGGUAAUACGUAGGGUGCGAGCGUUAAUCGGAAUUACUGGGCGUAAAGCGUGCGCAGGCGGUUUUGUAAGACAGGCGUGAAAUCCCCGGGCUUAACCUGGGAAUUGCGCUUGUGACUGCAAGGCUAGAGUGCAUCAGAGGGGGGUAGAAUUCCACGUGUAGCA
RNAcentral lists this ribosomal RNA (774 nucleotides) under uncultured beta proteobacterium. Its description in RNAcentral is "bacterial SSU rRNA". The stretch from base 98 to 774 matches the Rfam family "Bacterial small subunit ribosomal RNA", at positions 1 to 680 of the family's 1533-position model. The record is from RNAcentral. Lineage: Bacteria; Pseudomonadati; Pseudomonadota; Betaproteobacteria.